RNAcentral lists this ribosomal RNA (1372 nucleotides) under uncultured bacterium. RNAcentral describes it as "bacterial SSU rRNA". It matches the Rfam family "Bacterial small subunit ribosomal RNA", at positions 28 to 1381 of the family's 1533-position model. The record is from RNAcentral.
GAUGAACGCUGGCGGCGUGCCUAAUACAUGCAAGUCGAGCGAACGGACGAGAAGCUUGCUUCUCUGAUGUUAGCGGCGGACGGGUGAGUAACACGUGGAUAACCUACCUAUAAGACUGGGAUAACUUCGGGAAACCGGAGCUAAUACCGGAUAAUAUUUUGAACCGCAUGGUUCAAAAGUGAAAGACGGUCUUGCUGUCACUUAUAGAUGGAUCCGCGCUGCAUUAGCUAGUUGGUAAGGUAACGGCUUACCAAGGCAACGAUGCAUAGCCGACCUGAGAGGGUGAUCGGCCACACUGGAACUGAGACACGGUCCAGACUCCUACGGGAGGCAGCAGUAGGGAAUCUUCCGCAAUGGGCGAAAGCCUGACGGAGCAACGCCGCGUGAGUGAUGAAGGUCUUCGGAUCGUAAAACUCUGUUAUUAGGGAAGAACAUAUGUGUAAGUAACUGUGCACAUCUUGACGGUACCUAAUCAGAAAGCCACGGCUAACUACGUGCCAGCAGCCGCGGUAAUACGUAGGUGGCAAGCGUUAUCCGGAAUUAUUGGGCGUAAAGCGCGCGUAGGCGGUUUUUUAAGUCUGAUGUGAAAGCCCACGGCUCAACCGUGGAGGGUCAUUGGAAACUGGAAAACUUGAGUGCAGAAGAGGAAAGUGGAAUUCCAUGUGUAGCGGUGAAAUGCGCAGAGAUAUGGAGGAACACCAGCGGCGAAGGCGACUUUCUGGUCUGUAACUGACGCUGAUGUGCGAAAGCGUGGGGAUCAAACAGGAUUAGAUACCCUGGUAGUCCACGCCGUAAACGAUGAGUGCUAAGUGUUAGGGGGUUUCCGCCCCUUAGUGCUGCAGCUAACGCAUUAAGCACUCCGCCUGGGGAGUACGACCGCAAGGUUGAAACUCAAAGGAAUUGACGGGGACCCGCACAAGCGGUGGAGCAUGUGGUUUAAUUCGAAGCAACGCGAAGAACCUUACCAAAUCUUGACAUCCUUUGACAACUCUAGAGAUAGAGCCUUCCCCUUCGGGGGACAAAGUGACAGGUGGUGCAUGGUUGUCGUCAGCUCGUGUCGUGAGAUGUUGGGUUAAGUCCCGCAACGAGCGCAGCCCUUAAGCUUAGUUGCCAUCAUUAAGUUGGGCACUCUAAGUUGACUGCCGGUGACAAACCGGAGGAAGGUGGGGACGACGUCAAAUCAUCAUGCCCCUUAUGAUUUGGGCUACACACGUGCUACAAUGGACAAUACAAAGGGCAGCGAAACCGCGAGGUCAAGCAAAUCCCAUAAAGUUGUUCUCAGUUCGGAUUGUAGUCUGCAACUCGACUACAUGAAGCUGGAAUCGCUAGUAAUCGUAGAUCAGCAUGCUACGGUGAAUACGUUCCCGGGUCU